AAAAAAAACUUGUCAUUAUAAUAUAAAAUUAUCUCAAAACAUAUUUUUUAUGACGUUUUUUCACCACUUGCAGGCAAUAGUGAUUUUCACUUACAUAGAGUACUAAUUUUAUUAAGGAAAAAUCAUGUUCAUUCAUAAUUUUCAUUUUAAAAGUGUAUUCAUUCCUUCUGCAAAUCCAUAUCCAUGCCUAUUCCCUAAUCCAUGCCUAUUCCCCAAUAUCGUCAACGCGGAUAGUUCGUUAGUCGAAAAUACUGAAUAAUUAAACAAACCAAAUGGCAUCACUGGUGGUUCUUUUUUCCACUCCGCUAAACUGUCAUCUCAAACAAAAACAAAUGGAUCAUACAACUGCUAUGAAUACAUUCAACUUGUUUGCUUCCAUCAAUCGGUAAGUGAGAAAGAUGAUUUCUCCCAUCACCACAGUACGGUUUUCCACUUCUAUCACAGCAGCCAACAACAUCCGUUUUCCUGCAGCAGUAACCUCCAACCCUUGUUGGCAAUGCCGGGGGACAGCAUCAACAGUAGCAGCAGCAGAAUUUGACCAUGGUAUGGUAUUGCGAAGAACUUUCCCCAUUAGAGGUUCCGUGCUUCGCGCACAUUCAAAAAUCCUCUUCAGACACGAAAACUCAACGACAAGGAGGUAUUUAUCAACUUGCUCAGCUGAAUUACCACCCGGAGGAACCCGAAUACACUGAUUCCGUUGUAUAGUAGAAUGAAAAUAGGCGAGGUAAGCGAACGUAAUCGCAUGAUAUUUUAAUGUUCGCAUUUUUAUCCGGAUCAUACAACUGCUAUGAAUACAUCCGACUCAAUCAAUCGGCGAGUGAGAAAGAUGAUUUCCCUCAUCACCACAUUGCUUAUUUCCACUUCUGUCACGCCAGCCAACAGCAUCAGCUUUCCCGCAGCAGUAUCCUUUAAGUCCAGGGUGCUAUUCCGGGGAACAGCAUCAACAGUAACAGCAGCAGGACCUGGCCAUCGAUAGUAUUUCGAGCAAUAUUCCCCAUCGGAGAUCCCGUGCUUCACGCACAUUGAAGAAUCCUCCUCAGCCACAUAUCUGUGUCAUCAAGGGCAAGGAGGUAUUCAUCAAUGUACUCAGUCGGAUUUGAAUCGUCAAUCCAGACAACCCGGAUGCACCGAUUCCAUUAUAUACCUUAUUUUUAUUAU
Molecule: long non-coding RNA, 1158 nt
Organism: Toxorhynchites rutilus septentrionalis
Lineage: Eukaryota; Metazoa; Arthropoda; Insecta; Diptera; Culicidae
Exons: 3
Source: RefSeq, a predicted model, not a curated record